Molecule: ribosomal RNA, 464 nt
Filed under: uncultured bacterium
Lineage: Bacteria
Description: partial 16S ribosomal RNA
Rfam family: Bacterial small subunit ribosomal RNA
Source: RNAcentral
CUACGGGCUGCUCCAGUGAGGAAUAUUGCACAAUGGGCGCAAGCCUGAUGCAGCCAUGCCGCGUGUAUGAAGAAGGCCUUCGGGUUGUAAAGUACUUUCAGCGGGGAGGAAGGGAGUAAAGUUAAUACCUUUGCUCAUUGACGUUACCCGCAGAAGAAGCACCGGCUAACUCCGUGCCAGCAGCCGCGGUAAUACGGAGGGUGCAAGCGUUAAUCGGAAUUACUGGGCGUAAAGCGCACGCAGGCGGCUUGUUAAGUCAGAUGUGAAAUCCCCGGGCUCAACCUGGGAACUGCAUCUGAUACUGGCAAGCUUGAGUCUCGUAGAGGGGGGUAGAAUUCCAGGUGUAGCGGUGAAAUGCGUAGAGAUCUGGAGGAAUACCGGUGGCGAAGGCGGCCCCCUGGACGAAGACUGACGCUCAGGUGCGAAAGCGUGGGGAGCAAACAGGAUUAGAUACCCUUGUAGUC